This 498-nucleotide ribosomal RNA is filed under the name uncultured Bacteroidota bacterium. RNAcentral describes it as "bacterial SSU rRNA". It matches the Rfam family "Bacterial small subunit ribosomal RNA", at positions 355 to 853 of the family's 1533-position model. The record is from RNAcentral. Lineage: Bacteria; Pseudomonadati; Bacteroidota.
UAGGGAAUAUUGGGCAAUGGCCGAGAGGCUGACCCAGCCAUGCCGCGUGCAGGAAGAAGGCCUUCUGGGUUGUAAACUGCUUUUAUCAGGGAAGAAAACGCUCCUGCGGGAGUAACUGACGGUACCUGAUGAAUAAGCACCGGCUAACUCCGUGCCAGCAGCCGCGGUAAUACGGAGGGUGCAAGCGUUGUCCGGAUUUAUUGGGUUUAAAGGGUGCGUAGGCGGCUUGUUAAGUCAGCGGUGAAAUCCCAGGGCUCAACCCUGGAACUGCCGUUGAUACUGGCAAGCUUGAGUUCGGUCGAGGCGGGCGGAACUGGUGGUGUAGCGGUGAAAUGCAUAGAUACCACCAAGAACCCCGAUCGCGAAGGCAGCUCGCUGGGCCGAAACUGACGCUGAGGCACGAAAGCGUGGGGAGCGGAACAGGAUUAGAUACCCUGGUAGUCCACGCCGUAAACGAUGAUAACUCGAUGUUGGCGAUAUACAGUCAGCGUCUUAGAC